GCCCCGGUAGCUCAGGGGAUAGAGCAAUCGCCUCCUAAGCGAUAGGUCGGCCGUUCGAAUCGGCUCUGGGGUA
RNAcentral lists this transfer RNA (73 nucleotides) under Spirochaetales bacterium. RNAcentral describes it as "tRNA-Arg". It matches the Rfam family "tRNA". Rfam says of the family: Transfer RNA (tRNA) molecules are approximately 80 nucleotides in length. Their secondary structure includes four short double-helical elements and three loops (D, anti-codon, and T loops). Lineage: Bacteria; Pseudomonadati; Spirochaetota; Spirochaetia; Spirochaetales. The record is from RNAcentral.